CUUCCGAGCGACGGGCGCAGGCGCCAAGAGCGGGGUUUGGGCUCCCGGCCUCUGGCCGCUUGGGGCUCGCUACCCCCCCGCCUGCGUCCCGCCUGGGCCUGGCAGGGUCCGGCCGCCCGAGCUGGGCCUGGGGCCGCGACAGAGGGCUCUGGAGACCCUCUGCGGGGGUUCCGAGGUCGUGCGGGGCGCGGAGCCGAGGCCUCCCCUGGGCUGGCAGCUGCUGCGCCCGGGACGCCCCCCGCCCUCCCACAUACCCCGGGCUGGCAAGUGCAGACCUGAAAAUCACCUGGACCUCUCUCGGUGGCCCGAAGCCCGUCCGAGCCCGGGAGGUAGCUCGGGACCCGGCGGGGCAGGGCCCGGAGGCAGCCAUGAUGAUGGACGUGGCCUCUCCGCCCCAGGGUGCUGGGCAGGGGUCUCCGUCCUCGUCCUCCCGGCUGGGUUUCGAGGGACCCCAGGCCUGCUAGGGCCUGUAACACCUCGGAUGGCGCCCGAACACCCAAGCGCCGUGGGUUCUCGGAUAACUGCGGUCCUCCCAGGGGUCAGGUCAGCACGAGUUGACUUCAACGCGAGCUUGCUUUCCUACCAGCCUCACGUUCCGAAGGGUUUUAGCAUCGCACAUUGCCGGGCUCGUGGUUCUUAACCCCCGAAGUUUUCUACCGUUUAACUUCCAUUUGGUUCUCAGCUUUUAGGAAUGAUAGUGGAAUUGUAUGCUAGGGUGGGAAUGCGGUUCUGGAAACGAAGGUCUUUCAGCAGAUUUUUCCCUAAAUCGAAAAUUCCUGCUCGACCGAAAUGCAGAGUCCUAGUCCGCGGAGCCAGAGUGACUUAGAAGAUCUGGGAUGGGCCCUGAACUGCGAUGGAAAUGGCCUGCAUUGAGAGCAACACUGUUCUAAACCCUUCGUUCCCGGAGAGCAGCGGGCCACGUUCACGUCCUGCCCCGUGUCCCCAGCCCCAAGCAAAGCUCCUGACACGUUGCGGGUGCACCUCCAGUAAAAGCAGCUUUACCCCAGAUGAAGACGCAUCCUUUAAGUUCUUUCCCAAGACAAAGCCCUUGUGUGAGCAACUGGUCCUGAGGGCAGAGUGAGACAGGGAGAGAGACCGUAGUCACACAUCCCUGCCAGGUGAUGCGCAGUCAGGCCUCGCAGGCCCUCUCCACCACUCUUCUGGGAGCUGCCUCCCUGUCAAGGCCUGUUCCAGACCUGGCCUCCUCUCCCCCCGGUACCUCCUCCAGGGACAGAUCCUGAGACAGAACGACAGCGGACAGAGUCCAUGGGGCACAGCUCUGAACACUGACAUUCAUGAUGAGUAUUGAAGUAAGGGAUGUUAUAUAUAAUGCUUCCCGACUACUCUUUGUAAAUCAAAAUUUAUUUAAACAGGUUAAUCUUGUAACUACAGUAAGUCAAGCUCUUAGUACACAGAAAUAGAUAAUACGUUUCAAGUGU
Molecule: long non-coding RNA, 1439 nt
Organism: Zalophus californianus (California sea lion)
Lineage: Eukaryota; Metazoa; Chordata; Mammalia; Carnivora; Otariidae
Exons: 2
Source: RefSeq, a predicted model, not a curated record